RNAcentral lists this non-coding RNA (65 nucleotides) under uncultured Candidatus Pelagibacter sp. Its description in RNAcentral is "Glycine riboswitch". The stretch from base 4 to 60 matches the Rfam family "Glycine riboswitch aptamer", at positions 10 to 85 of the family's 94-position model. From Rfam's summary of the family: This family represents the bacterial glycine riboswitch. Glycine riboswitches usually consist of two metabolite-binding aptamers domains with similar structures in tandem. Lineage: Bacteria; Pseudomonadati; Pseudomonadota; Alphaproteobacteria; Candidatus Pelagibacterales; Candidatus Pelagibacteraceae. The record is from RNAcentral.
AACUCUGGAAAGAGAUUAAAUUCUCGCCGAAGGAGUAAAACUCUCAGGCAAAUAUACAGAUGGGU